This 274-nucleotide ribosomal RNA is filed under the name uncultured bacterium. RNAcentral describes it as "partial 16S ribosomal RNA". It matches the Rfam family "Archaeal small subunit ribosomal RNA", at positions 473 to 747 of the family's 1478-position model. The record is from RNAcentral.
AAACCAGCACCUCAAGUGGUCAGGAGGAUUAUUGGGCCUAAAGCAUCCGUAGCCUGCUCUGUAAGUUUUCGGUUAAAUCUGUACGCUUAACGUACAGGCUGCCGGGAAUACUGCAGAACUAGGGAGUGGGAGAGGUAGACGGUACUCGGGAGGAAGUGGUAAAAUGCUUUGAUCUCUCGAUGACCACCUGUGGCGAAGGCGGUCUACCAGAACACGUCCGACGGUGAGGGAUGAAAGCUGGGGGAGCAAACCGGAUUAGAAACCCGAGUAGUCC